Molecule: ribosomal RNA, 223 nt
Filed under: uncultured bacterium
Lineage: Bacteria
Description: partial 16S ribosomal RNA
Rfam family: Bacterial small subunit ribosomal RNA
Source: RNAcentral
AGGUAAUGUAUGGGGAUCUGCCUGAUGGCGGGGGAUAACUACUGGAAACGGUAGCUAAUACCGCAUAAUGUCUGCGGACCAAAGCGGGGGACCUCCGGGCCUCGCGCCAUCAGAUGAACCCAUAUGGGAUUAGCUUGUAGGUAAGGUAACGGCUUACCUAGGCGACGAUCCCUAGCUGGUCUGAGAGGAUGAUCAGCCACACUGGGACUGAGACACGGCCCAG